AUUCAACCUCAAUUCCUUCGGGUCAUCCCCCAUAUGCUUAUCGAGUGUAUUUCCCUAGCUGUCAUAUAAUUGGAGAAAGGUUUCAAACUGAAGAAAAUACAAUACAAGGUUGCGGAGAAAAUAACGGAGAUAGUGUCUCAGAAGUGCUUCUGCACUCUCAUUUAUGACCAUCGCUCCUGGCCCCUUCCAAGGAGGGCCUUGGACGAACUUCAACACAAGCAUAUCGCUUAGACAGUACGGCGUGAUCGCGAACAAGGCGUGGUAGAUAAAGUAUCUCCAUGAUUCAUUCCUGAAACAAUAUUCGUAUUAAUUAAUUGGUGUCUGCUAAAUGCAAGCACUGAAACGCAUGGAUAGCUCCAGGCAGAUGAUAAACCCUACGUUGAGCUAAGAAUGCGACAACGUAAGCUGUUUCGAACUUGUGCAGCCGAAUAGUUUGGUCAACACAUUCAUUCCUGUGGUUAGGUUUCUGCUCGAAAUAAUCGGAGACUUUCAGAAACUUUAUCACAUAUUAGUUAGUUUGAGGUUAGAGCCGCGUCCAGAGCUCUUCGCACUCUGGGCAUACAAAGGAAUCUCUCUUUUUUUUUGGACCCUAGGCAGGUAUUUAUUUUGCCUAGGAAUAAACGCGGCCCUGAGUUCCAGCCUGAGGGCCGUGGCCCAAGCGGUGAGUCCAGCUUUCGUCCCGCUGUAAGUAGCCACUCCAGGAAUCGGUUGGAUCUUACAAUGGCUCGAGAUCACGAUAAUCCUGCUCGAGUGGAUACGGAUCAUCGGCAUCAAUUCUCGAGUGAUUCUGACAGCGCCGACUUUCUGAUAACCGGAUUUUUGUUUGGGGGAUCGAUUAUGACGAGUCCUUCAAAAGCCCGAAAUAUUAUCUUAUGAAGAUGGAACACGAUGGAAUUUUAAUGGAAUCGGGCUUAUGCCUGGGCAAAAUAGGCACACGUGACUAGUGCCUGAAAAAGCUAUAGACACUGCCCUGAAUGGAAAUCAAAAUAAUUUACCUAAGUUUUGUUCAUUUAAUAAUGAUCGCACAGAAUCCACAAAGUGUGAGAGGUCAAGAAAAUUCGUGACGUCUAAGGAAAAAACAUGUACACCCUUCUGUCCCAACUUCUUAGCCCCGGGACCAUCUUUUUCCAGCACACUGGCGAUCACAGUUGCCCCGAGCUGUCGACAGUGUAACGCCAGACUGUAUCCUAAUCCCGAAUCGCAGCCAAUUAUAAUAAUGGCAUGAUUCGGGGAUAUUUUGUCUCGAGAUUUGAUGCGACAGUACAAGUAACUUCCACCUGAAAUAAAAAAUCAUUAUUUUGUAUGCUUCAUUAACGCCAGCAAAACGUUCUAACGCCUGAUAACUGCCCAAAUAAUGGCACUGUACUUCGCUUAAAUCAAAGGUGGAAGGCUAGUACUAAUAAAAAGACUGGAUAUGUUUUUAUUUGACCAGUCCUUUACAAGUAUUUCAAAAACACCGCCGUAAAUAAAAAGUUUUUUAAAUUC
Long non-coding RNA from Osmia lignaria (orchard mason bee), 1485 nucleotides. RefSeq lists it as uncharacterized. The record is from RefSeq and is a predicted model, not a curated record. NCBI's taxonomy places the organism in Eukaryota, Metazoa, Arthropoda, Insecta, Hymenoptera, Megachilidae.